GUCCAGUAGAAAGAGUUCGCGACCGGUUUGCCCUGCGAAGACGCCAGCUAAAAAGUGGCUCCAUCGGGGGCAGUAUCGCAACAAACCAUAGCUGCUCACGCCUAAAUGAGGUGUGGCAAUACAGAUGAGGGUGUGCGGCUCCAGACCCGCGACCUUCGUAGUUCCUUCGGUGUCAUCGAACAGCGUCUCGAGGGCGCUCCGCACAUACAGUCCGCCGAGGCUAAAACCGACGAGCGAGAUCCACUGAAGCCGCGACCGAUAGUCAGCAACAACGUGCUCUAUUUCCGCAGCGACACGCUUGCCACCUGAACUGAUCCCGUCGGUGGUGCGACGCCAGUUGCACUGCACGGUGUGCACCAGCAAGCCACGCUGCUGCAGUGCGUGCGCGAGGUACGUAAGGUCGCCGGGUGCUCCCUGCAGUCCGUGCACUAGAAAGCAAACAUGUUUGCUCGAUGUGUUUGACGUUUCCAUUUGGAGCUGGAGUUUUGAAGCCGCGUCCCGAGGCGGCGCGCGCCGCUGCGUGUUUACAGCCCGACCUGAACGGGGCAACGGCGUUCGUCUGGACGUGAGGGCAAGGUUGCUAUUGUGGCAGCGUUGCGCCUUGUCGAUGCCAAGUAACAGGACGUGUACUUCGCCAGCAAACAUAAGCUGGCCUUUGCGGUUGAUGCCUGUUUUCGUCGUCGGCCAACAGGUCGGACUAGUCAGGACUGCAACGAGCCGCGCGCAUAACGCUUUGCUACGGUUGCAGCCAUGCCCGCUCCGAAAGGUGUCCACGUAUCAGCGUCCAAACGCUCUUCUGACGCAAUAAGGCGAUGCUUUCGGCAACAUGGGCUCUCGAAUAGCAACCUUCGGUGCACUUUACUGGAAAACACCCAUACGGAUUGUGCCCAACGAGUUACAGCAUUGGAGCGUUUACUCCACGUAGCGCGCGUCGGCUUCGUACGCGCACACACAAACACACACACACAUGGAUAGGGUCACUGCUCAUGGACACUUGGCUCGGUUUGUGCUUCGUGUCCAAGCUAGUCGUCGUUGCGUCCAGUCAAGUCGCCGAAGAGAAAUCAGUAUACCUGUCGCGUGCCGGUAUCAGGCGCUGAAGCCUCUGUCCUGACUUUUUGCAAAAUGCAUCAGCAGCAUCAUGUCGCUCGUAUUCGAGGAGCGGCGGAAAAAGCACAUGCUCAUUGCAAGGAAUGCAGUGGUCUCCAGUACGGACCUCGAAUAAGACCAGCACUCGGAACGCCACUCCAACGAGUGUCCACGCACGAAAGCGAUCUCCAGUCAGUGCUGUAUCGUUCGUAUCUCGCACAGUCUUUGAACUUGCACGUGGUCGUUUGCGCUGUGGGUCAAGGGCGCUCAGCUGCCGUAGUCCUUGCGUGCAGUCGGUACCUCACUGAUAUCCGAUACUGUUAUUGCUGGAUCAAAUUGCCGACGACGCGUUUUGUCGCAAGCACUUCUGAAGCACCGGCUUGACCGGUGCAUCGUUGAAACACAUUUUCCAUUCAGUCGUUUCGCGCCUCUGCAGAAGGACUCGUGGCAUCGUGGUCGGCACUGCUCGCUGUACAUUCGCGUGCAGACUGGUCGGUUGCAUGCCAGCCGCGGUUGUAGCGUGUGAACAGCUCAUCCAACUCUGCAAGUCGUUUCGGCCCGAUACUGCGCUCCUCGAGGCACAUUCCAGCCUCAGGUCCACCGUAAACC
RNAcentral lists this unclassified non-coding RNA (1695 nucleotides) under Cyanidioschyzon merolae strain 10D. RNAcentral describes it as "hypothetical transcript". The record is from RNAcentral. Lineage: Eukaryota; Rhodophyta; Bangiophyceae; Cyanidiales; Cyanidiaceae.